Molecule: long non-coding RNA, 310 nt
Filed under: Micromonas commoda
Lineage: Eukaryota; Viridiplantae; Chlorophyta; Mamiellophyceae; Mamiellales; Mamiellaceae
Description: long non-coding RNA (MCOM_LNC000332)
Source: RNAcentral
AGGAGGACGCCAAGAUGAUCGCUCGACAGCUCCUGGACGCCCUCGCGUACAUGCACCUCAACAAUGUCACGCACCGGGACCUCAAGCUCGAGAACCUCCUGCUCGCCAGGCCGAACGACAUAUCCUCCGUGGUCAUCGCCGAUUUUGGCUUGGCGAGAAACGCCAAAACCGCGAGGCAGGUUUUCCAGACGCAGUGCGGCACCCCGUCCUACGUCGCUCCCGAGAUUCUCCUCGGCAAGCCGUACACCCCCGCGGUGGACGUGUGGAGCAUGGGCGUGAUCCUAUACACCCUCCUCAUCGGUUCCUUCCC